Molecule: ribosomal RNA, 458 nt
Filed under: uncultured bacterium
Lineage: Bacteria
Description: partial 16S ribosomal RNA
Rfam family: Bacterial small subunit ribosomal RNA
Source: RNAcentral
AACGAACGCUGGCGGCAUGCCUAACACAUGCAAGUCGAACGAGACCUUCGGGUCUAGUGGCGCACGGGUGCGUAACGCGUGGGAACCUGCCCUUAGGUUCGGAAUAACUCCCCGAAAGGGGUGCUAAUACCGGAUAAUGUCUUCGGACCAAAGAUUUAUCGCCUUUGGAUGGGCCCGCGUUGGAUUAGCUAGUUGGUAGGGUAAAAGCCUACCAAGGCGACGAUCCAUAGCUGGUCUGAGAGGAUGAUCAGCCACACUGGAACUGAGACACGGCCCAGACUCAGAGGGGAGGCAGCAGUAGGGAACAUUCGGCAAUGGGCGAACGCCGGAUGGAGCAAUGCAGCGGGAGGGAAGAAGGUCUUCGGAUCGUAAAAAUCUGUGAUUAGGGAAGAAAAAAUGGGUAAGUAACUAUGCACGGCUUGAAGGUACCUAAUCAGAAAGACACGGCUAACUACGUG